CCACGGGUGGCAGCAGUGGGGAAUAUUGGACAAUGGGGGCAACCCUGAUCCAGCCAUGCCGCGUGUGUGAAGAAGGCCUUCGGGUUGUAAAGCACUUUCAGUGAGGAAGAACGCCUGGUGGUUAAUACCCAUCAGGAAAGACAUCACUCACAGAAGAAGCACCGGCUAACUCCGUGCCAGCAGCCGCGGUAAUACGGAGGGUGCGAGCGUUAAUCGGAAUUACUGGGCGUAAAGCGCGCGUAGGUGGCUUGAUAAGCCGGUUGUGAAAGCCCCGGGCUCAACCUGGGAACGGCAUCCGGAACUGUCAAGCUAGAGUGCAGGAGAGGAAGGUAGAAUUCCCGGUGUAGCGGUGAAAUGCGUAGAGAUCGGGAGGAAUACCAGUGGCGAAGGCGGCCUUCUGGACUGACACUGACACUGAGGUGCGAAAGCGUGGGUAGCAAACAGGAUUAGAUACCCGAGUAGUC
RNAcentral lists this ribosomal RNA (464 nucleotides) under Vreelandella stevensii. RNAcentral's name for it is "partial 16S ribosomal RNA". It matches the Rfam family "Bacterial small subunit ribosomal RNA", at positions 339 to 795 of the family's 1533-position model. Lineage: Bacteria; Pseudomonadati; Pseudomonadota; Gammaproteobacteria; Oceanospirillales; Halomonadaceae. The record is from RNAcentral.